Molecule: transfer RNA, 75 nt
Filed under: Pseudomonadota bacterium
Lineage: Bacteria; Pseudomonadati; Pseudomonadota
Description: tRNA-Gly
Rfam family: tRNA
About the family: Transfer RNA (tRNA) molecules are approximately 80 nucleotides in length.
Source: RNAcentral
GCGGGCAUAGCUCAGUUGGCUUAGAGCGUCGCGUUGCCAUCGCGAAGGUCGAGGGUUCGAGUCCCUUUGCCCGCU